AAUGAACGUUGGCGGCGUGGAUUAGGCAUGCAAGUCGUACGAGAAGCCUUUUUUUGCUUGCAUUAGAAGGCGGACAGUGGCGAAAGGGAGAGUAACGCGUGGAUACCUACCCCUGGGUUCGGGAUAGCUGCGGGAAACUGCAGGUAAUACCGAAUAACAUCUCCGGAUCAAAGGUGUGAUUCCGCCCAAGGCUGGGUCCGCGUCCUACUAGCUUGUUGGUGAGGUAAUGGCUCACCAAGGCUAAGAUGGGUAGCGGGUGUGAGAGCAUGGCCCGUCUCACUGGGACUGAGACACUGCCCAGACACCUACGGGUGGCUGCAGUCGAGAAUCUUCCGCAAUGGACGAAAGUCUGACGGAGCGACGCCGCGUGCGGGAUGAAGGCCCUCGGGUUGUAAACCGCUGUCAGUUGGGAGGAAAUGCCAUAGGGCACUCUCUAUGGUUUGACCGAUCUUCAGAGGAAGUCCGGGCUAAGUUCGUGCCAGCCGCCGCAGUAACAC
This 497-nucleotide ribosomal RNA is filed under the name uncultured bacterium. Its description in RNAcentral is "bacterial SSU rRNA". It matches the Rfam family "Bacterial small subunit ribosomal RNA", at positions 29 to 526 of the family's 1533-position model. The record is from RNAcentral.